RNAcentral lists this ribosomal RNA (777 nucleotides) under uncultured Neocallimastigales. RNAcentral's name for it is "partial large subunit ribosomal RNA". It matches the Rfam family "Eukaryotic large subunit ribosomal RNA", at positions 19 to 649 of the family's 3401-position model. Lineage: Eukaryota; Fungi; Neocallimastigomycota; Neocallimastigomycetes; Neocallimastigales. The record is from RNAcentral.
CGAGCACGCGCGUGUGGCAUAUCAAUAAGCGGAGGAAAAGAAGCUAACAAGGAUUCCCUUAGUAACGGCGAGUGAAGCGGGAAGAGCUCAAAUUUGAAAUCUUCAAGGUUCUACCUUGACGAAUUGUAGUUUAUAGAAGUGUUUUCUGUUAGUGGAGUGGCAAAAGUUCUUUGGAAUAGGGACAUCAUAGAGGGUGAGAAUCCCGUAUUUGGUCAUUCCUCCUAGCGUUGUGAUACACUUUCAACGAGUCGGAUUGUUUGGGAAUGCAGUCCAAAAUGGGUGGUAAAUUUCAUCUAAAGCUAAAUAUUGGCGAGAGACCGAUAGCGAACAAGUACCGUGAGGGAAAGAUGAAAAGAACUUUGAAAAGAGAGUUAAACAGUACGUGAAAUUGUCAAAAGGGAAGCGUUUGACACCAGUGUUAUUUUUCCGAAAAUCAAUUACGAAUGUUUUAUUUUUGAGGAGUUAUGACUUCAUCGGCUUGCUUCUCUUCUUUACGAAACUUUCUUAAUGCACUUUUCGGUUAACAAGUCAACAUCCAAUUUCUUUUGUUGUAAAAGGGUAUGAGGAAGGUGGCUUUCUUUUCGGAGAAAGUGUUUAUAGCCUUGUACCUCUGCAAUCGGAGAGAUUGAGGUCUGCAGCGUAGAUCCUUCGGGGUUAGAUACGUUUGUGCUAAGUUAUAGCUUUUCAUAGACAACUUGUUGACUAUGUUUAGUCUUGUAGCUUACUCGCUGACGCUAUUUUACCUACGCUUAGGAUGUUGAGUAGCGACAUACGCAC